GUGUGACUGCGUACCUUUUGUAUAAUGGGUCAGCGACUUAUAUUCUGUAGCAAGGUUAACCGAAUAGGGGAGCCGAAGGGAAACCGAGUCUUAACUGGGCGUUAAGUUGCAGGGUAUAGACCCGAAACCCGGUGAUCUAGCCAUGGGCAGGUUGAAGGUUGGGUAACACUAACUGGAGGACCGAACCGACUAAUGUUGAAAAAUUAGCGGAUGACUUGUGGCUGGGGGUGAAAGGCCAAUCAAACCGGGAGAUAGCUGGUUCUCCCCGAAAGCUAUUUAGGUAGCGCCUCGUGAAUUCAUCUCCGGGGGUAGAGCACUGUUUCGGCAAGGGGGUCAUCCCGACUUACCAACCCGAUGCAAACUGCGAAUACCGGAGAAUGUUAUCACGGGAGACACACGGCGGGUGCUAACGUCCGUCGUGAAGAGGGAAACAACCCAGACCGCCAGCUAAGGUCCCAAAGUCAUGGUUAAGUGGGAAACGAUGUGGGAAGGCCCAGACAGCCAGGAUGUUGGCUUAGAAGCAGCCAUCAUUUAAAGAAAGCGUAAUAGCUCACUGGUCGAGUCGGCCUGCGCNAGCCAUCAUUUAAAGAAAGCGUAAUAGCUCACUGGUCGAGUCGGCCUGCGCGGAAGAUGUAACGGGGCUAAACCAUGCACCGAAGCUGCGGCAGCGACGCUUAUGCGUUGUUGGGUAGGGGAGCGUUCUGUAAGCCUGUGAAGGUGUACUGUGAGGUAUGCUGGAGGUAUCAGAAGUGCGAAUGCUGACAUAAGUAACGAUAAAGCGGGUGAAAAGCCCGCUCGCCGGAAGACCAAGGGUUCCUGUCCAACGUUAAUCGGGGCAGGGUGAGUCGACCCCUAAGGCGAGGCCGAAAGGCGUAGUCGAUGGGAAACAGGUUAAUAUUCCUGUACUUGGUGUUACUGCGAAGGGGGGACGGAGAAGGCUAUGUUGGCCGGGCGACGGUUGUCCCGGUUUAAGCGUGUAGGCUGGUUUUCCAGGCAAAUCCGGAAAAUCAAGGCUGAGGCGUGAUGACGAGGCACUACGGUGCUGAAGCAACAAAUGCCCUGCUUCCAGGAAAAGCCUCUAAGCAUCAGGUAACAUCAAAUCGUACCCCAAACCGACACAGGUGGUCAGGUAGAGAAUACCAAGGCGCUUGAGAGAACUCGGGUGAAGGAACUAGGCAAAAUGGUGCCGUAACUUCGGGAGAAGGCACGCUGAUAUGUAGGUGAAGUCCCUCGCGGAUGGAGCUGAAAUCAGUCGAAGAUACCAGCUGGCUGCAACUGUUUAUUAAAAACACAGCACUGUGCAAACACGAAAGUGGACGUAUACGGUGUGACGCCUGCCCGGUGCCGGAAGGUUAAUUGAUGGGGUCAGCGCAAGCGAAGCUCUUGAUCGAAGCCCCGGUAAACGGCGGCCGUAACUAUAACGGUCCUAAGGUAGCGAAAUUCCUUGUCGGGUAAGUUCCGACCUGCACGAAUGGCGUAAUGAUGGCCAGGCUGUCUCCACCCGAGACUCAGUGAAAUUGAACUCGCUGUGAAGAUGCAGUGUACCCGCGGCAAGACGGAAAGACCCCGUGAACCUUUACUAUAGCUUGACACUGAACAUUGAGCCUUGAUGUGUAGGAUAGGUGGGAGGCUUUGAAGUGUGGACGCCAGUCUGCAUGGAGCCGACCUUGAAAUACCACCCUUUAAUGUUUGAUGUUCUAACGUUGACCCGUGAUCCGGGUUGCGGACAGUGUCUGGUGGGUAGUUUGACUGGGGCGGUCUCCUCCUAAAGAGUAACGGAGGAGCACGAAGGUUGGCUAAUCCUGGUCGGACAUCAGGAGGUUAGUGCAAUGGCAUAAGCCAGCUUGACUGCGAGCGUGACGGCGCGAGCAGGUGCGAAAGCAGGUCAUAGUGAUCCGGUGGUUCUGAAUGGAAGGGCCAUCGCUCAACGGAUAAAAGGUACUCCGGGGAUAACAGGCUGAUACCGCCCAAGAGUUCAUAUCGACGGCGGUGUUUGGCACCUCGAUGUCGGCUCAUCACAUCCUGGGGCUGAAGUAGGUCCCAAGGGUAUGGCUGUUCGCCAUUUAAAGUGGUACGCGAGCUGGGUUUAGAACGUCGUGAGACAGUUCGGUCCCUAUCUGCCGUGGGCGCUGGAGAACUGAGGGGGGCUGCUCCUAGUACGAGAGGACCGGAGUGGACGCAUCACUGGUGUUCGGGUUGUCAUGCCAAUGGCACUGCCCGGUAGCUAAAUGCGGAAGAGAUAAGUGCUGAAAGCAUCUAAGCACGAAACUUGCCCCGAGAUGAGUUCUCCCUGACUCCUUGA
RNAcentral lists this ribosomal RNA (2302 nucleotides) under Escherichia coli. Its description in RNAcentral is "bacterial LSU rRNA". It matches the Rfam family "Bacterial large subunit ribosomal RNA", at positions 591 to 2826 of the family's 2925-position model. Lineage: Bacteria; Pseudomonadati; Pseudomonadota; Gammaproteobacteria; Enterobacterales; Enterobacteriaceae. The record is from RNAcentral.